GAUGGUGCAUAUUACUUGGAGGAGAAAUACUAUUCUCCCUGUUCAUUUGGGAAGCUUGUGAUUGUCUUCCAACAGAUCCAAAAUUUCCUGCGUUGGAUAAACUGCCUGAACCUUCCAUUCUUCAAAAUCUUGAAGGGAGAAUUACAUGUAUUAAAAAAACAAAGAAUGUCUUGAUCAUGGUCAACGAAAAAGUGCAGAAACCAUUAUUUUGAUCUUUUUCCUAUUCUUGAAUGAAGUUUGUUAGGACAUAUAUACCUUAAAGGACAAUACUUAGGAGACGUUUUGUACCAAACCUCCGACGUGGAGGAAAAUGGUAUAUCCCGCGAUGUAAUCUCCUCCUGUGUUAGUGUCAAUUACCCCUUCU
This 364-nucleotide long non-coding RNA is filed under the name Brassica napus (rape). RNAcentral's name for it is "long non-coding RNA (BNAP_LNC012598)". The record is from RNAcentral. Lineage: Eukaryota; Viridiplantae; Streptophyta; Magnoliopsida; Brassicales; Brassicaceae.